This 73-nucleotide transfer RNA is filed under the name Wolbachia endosymbiont of Atemnus politus. RNAcentral describes it as "tRNA-Thr". It matches the Rfam family "tRNA". Rfam says of the family: Transfer RNA (tRNA) molecules are approximately 80 nucleotides in length. Their secondary structure includes four short double-helical elements and three loops (D, anti-codon, and T loops). Lineage: Bacteria; Pseudomonadati; Pseudomonadota; Alphaproteobacteria; Rickettsiales; Anaplasmataceae. The record is from RNAcentral.
GCCGGCUUAGCUCAAUUGGUAGAGCAACUGACCUGUAAUCAGUAGGUUGUCAGUUCAAGCCCGACAGCCGGCA